CAGUAGCCGCGGUAAUACGGAGGAUCCAAGCGUUAUCCGGAAUCAUUGGGUUUAAAGGGUCCGUAGGCGGUCUUGUAAGUCAGUGGUGAAAGCCCAUCGCUCAACGGUGGAACGGCCAUUGAUACUGCAGGACUUGAAUUAUUGGGAAGUAACUAGAAUAUGUAGUGUAGCGGUGAAAUGCUUAGAGAUUACAUGGAAUACCAAUUGCGAAGGCAGGUUACUACCAAUUGAUUGACGCUGAUGGACGAAAGCGUGGGUAGCGAACAGGAUUAGAGACCCCUGUAGUCCCUGUCUCUUAUAA
RNAcentral lists this ribosomal RNA (301 nucleotides) under uncultured bacterium. RNAcentral's name for it is "partial 16S ribosomal RNA". It matches the Rfam family "Bacterial small subunit ribosomal RNA", at positions 509 to 809 of the family's 1533-position model. The record is from RNAcentral.